GAACGUAUGGCUUAGUAGUCAGCCAUUGGACGGUUGCCAACAGGCGCGGGUUCAAAUCCCGCUACGUACA
This 70-nucleotide transfer RNA is filed under the name Heliconius melpomene (postman butterfly). RNAcentral's name for it is "tRNA HMEL005823". It matches the Rfam family "tRNA". From Rfam's summary of the family: Transfer RNA (tRNA) molecules are approximately 80 nucleotides in length. Their secondary structure includes four short double-helical elements and three loops (D, anti-codon, and T loops). Lineage: Eukaryota; Metazoa; Arthropoda; Insecta; Lepidoptera; Nymphalidae. The record is from RNAcentral.